CCCUUAGAUGUUCUGGGCCGCACGCGCGCUACACUGACGAAUGCAACGAGCUUAUAACCUUGGCCGAAAGGUCUGGGUAAUCUCCAAAUUUCGUCGUGAUGGGGAUAGAUUAUUGCAAUUAUUAAUCUUCAACGAGGAAUUCCUAGUAAGCGCAAGUCAUCAGCUUGCGUUGAUUACGUCCCUGCCCUUUGUACACACCGCCCGUCGCUCCUACCGAUUGAAUGGUCCGGUGAAGCGUUCGGACCGUGGCCUUUGGACGGUUCGCCGUCUGUUGGCUGCGGGAAGUUCGUUAAACCUUAUCAUUUAGAGGAAGGAGAAGUCGUAACA
Molecule: ribosomal RNA, 327 nt
Filed under: uncultured eukaryote
Lineage: Eukaryota
Description: partial 18S ribosomal RNA
Rfam family: Eukaryotic small subunit ribosomal RNA
Source: RNAcentral